RNAcentral lists this small RNA (113 nucleotides) under unclassified sequences. RNAcentral describes it as "LOOT RNA". It matches the Rfam family "LOOT RNA". From Rfam's summary of the family: Latescibacteria, OD1/Parcubacteria, OP11, TM7. The record is from Rfam by way of RNAcentral.
AGCCUAACCCGACUCGUCGGCACGGUUGUCUAAAUCCAUGUAAAGAAACAGCUCGUCAUAGGGUAUUUCUUUACAUGGUCAUAUCGGGAAACUGAUAUGGGGGCUUCGGCUCC